GGCGAUCAGAUACCGCCCUAGUUCUGACCGUAAACGAUGCCAACUAGCGAUCGGACGGUGGAUUCUUAGCCCUGGUCGGUAGCUUCCCGGAAACGAAAGUCUUCCGGUUCCGGGGGAAGUAUGGUUGCAAAGCUGAAACUUAAAGGAAUUGACGGAAGGGCACCACCAGGAGUGGAGCCUGCGGCUUAAUUUGACUCAACACGGGGAAACUCACCCGGCCCGGACACCGUAAGGAUUGACAGAUUGAUAGCUCUUUCAUGAUUCGGUGGUUGGUGGUGCAUGGCCGUUCUUAGUUCGUGGAUCGAUUUGUCUGGUUUAUUCCGAUAACGAGCGAGACUCUAGCCUACUAAAUAGUGGCCGGAUUACUAAAGUCCGGUCCGCUUCUUAGAGGGAUUUUCGGUGUUUAGCCGCACGAGAUUGAGCAAUAACAGGUCUGUGAUGCCCUUAGAUGUCCGGGGCUGCACGCGCGCUACACUGGCGAAAUCAGCGUGCUUUAUCCAUUCUCGAAAGGGAUUGGUAAACCCAUGAAAAUUUGCCGUGCUUGGGAUCGGAAAUUGCAAUUAUUUUCCGUGAACGAGGAAUUCCAAGUAAGUGCGAGUCAUCAACUCGCUCUGAUUACGUCCCUGCCCUUUGUA
This 635-nucleotide ribosomal RNA is filed under the name Eucephalobus cf. oxyuroides TSH-2005. Its description in RNAcentral is "SSU rRNA". It matches the Rfam family "Eukaryotic small subunit ribosomal RNA", at positions 1003 to 1664 of the family's 1831-position model. Lineage: Eukaryota; Metazoa; Nematoda; Chromadorea; Rhabditida; Cephalobidae. The record is from RNAcentral.